RNAcentral lists this ribosomal RNA (369 nucleotides) under uncultured bacterium. RNAcentral's name for it is "bacterial SSU rRNA". It matches the Rfam family "Bacterial small subunit ribosomal RNA", at positions 527 to 896 of the family's 1533-position model. The record is from RNAcentral.
GUAGGGUCCAAGCGUUAAUCGGAAUUACUGGGCGUAAAGCGUGCGCAGGCGGUUUGCUAAGACCGAUGUGAAAUCCCCGGGCUUAACCUGGGAACUGCAUUGGUGACUGGCAGGCUAGAGUAUGGCAGAGGGGGGUAGAAUUCCACGUGUAGCAGUGAAAUGCGUAGAGAUGUGGAGGAAUACCGAUGGCGAAGGCAGCCCCCUGGGCCAAUACUGACGCUCAUGCACGAAAGCGUGGGGAGCAAACAGGAUUAGAUACCCUGGUAGUCCACGCCCUAAACGAUGUCAACUAGUUGUUGGGGAUUCAUUUCCUUAGUAACGUAGCUAACGCGUGAAGUUGACCGCCUGGGGAGUACGGUCGCAAGAUUA